AAUGAUCCGAAUGCUUUUCUUGAAUGGGAGUGCAAGAUGAAGUUUAUUUUUGAGUGCCACAAAUAUUCGGAGGAGAAAAAGAUAAAGCUUGCAGCCGUGGAGUUUGGAGAGUAUGCCAUUGUGUGGUGGGAUCAACUCAUCACAAGUAAAAGGAGAAAUGGAGAGAGACCUAUUUCCACUUAGGCCGAAAUGAAGGCUAUCAUGAGAAGGUGCUUUGUUCCUACUCACUACUAUAGGGACUUACAUAAAAAAUU
This 254-nucleotide long non-coding RNA is filed under the name Carica papaya (papaya). Its description in RNAcentral is "long non-coding RNA (CPAP_LNC010435)". Lineage: Eukaryota; Viridiplantae; Streptophyta; Magnoliopsida; Brassicales; Caricaceae. The record is from RNAcentral.